RNAcentral lists this ribosomal RNA (253 nucleotides) under uncultured bacterium. Its description in RNAcentral is "partial 16S ribosomal RNA". It matches the Rfam family "Bacterial small subunit ribosomal RNA", at positions 524 to 776 of the family's 1533-position model. The record is from RNAcentral.
UACGUAGGGUGCAAGCGUUAAUCGGAAUUACUGGGCGUAAAGCGUGCGCCGGCGGUUUUGUAAGUCUGACGUGAAAUCCCCGGGCUCAACCUGGGAAUUGCGUUGGAGACUGCAAGGCUAGAAUCUGGCAGAGGGGGGUAGAAUUCCACGUGUAGCAGUGAAAUGCGUAGAGAUGUGGAGGAACACCGAUGGCGAAGGCAGCCCCCUGGGUCAAGAUUGACGCUCAUGCACGAAAGCGUGGGGAGCAAACAGG